This 64-nucleotide transfer RNA is filed under the name Aphodius sp. APH01. Its description in RNAcentral is "tRNA-Cys". The record is from RNAcentral. Lineage: Eukaryota; Metazoa; Arthropoda; Insecta; Coleoptera; Scarabaeidae.
GGUCUUUUAGUCAAAAAUGAUGUUAAAUUGCAAAUUUAAAGGUAAAGAUUUUCUUUUAAGGCUU